Molecule: ribosomal RNA, 253 nt
Filed under: uncultured bacterium
Lineage: Bacteria
Description: partial 16S ribosomal RNA
Rfam family: Bacterial small subunit ribosomal RNA
Source: RNAcentral
UACGUAGGGGGCUAGCGUUGUCCGGAAUCAUUGGGCGUAAAGCGCGUGUAGGCGGUCCGGUAAGUCCGCUGUGAAAGUCGGGGGCUCAACCCUCGGAUGCCGGUGGAUACUGUCGGGCUUGAGUACGGAAGAGGCGAGUGGAAUUCCUGGUGUAGCGGUGAAAUGCGCAGAUAUCAGGAGGAACACCGAUUGCGAAGGCAGCUCGCUGGGACGUUACUGACGCUGAGACGCGAAAGCGUGGGGAGCGAACAGG